Molecule: long non-coding RNA, 670 nt
Organism: Ailuropoda melanoleuca (giant panda)
Lineage: Eukaryota; Metazoa; Chordata; Mammalia; Carnivora; Ursidae
Exons: 3
Source: RefSeq, a predicted model, not a curated record
GGUACUGCUGUGGGUACAGUCACCUAGGGCAAUGAGACCGCGAAGAGAAAAGUCGAGGAAUGCAGAAUGGUGCAGCCAAACCAUUGGCCGGUUUCUGGCAAGAGUAAAAAUACUCUCCAUACGAUCCAGCAAACACACUCCCUGGUUUUACCCAAAUAAACUGAAAACCUGCACAAGGAUGUUUAUAGCAGUUUCAUUCCUAAUUGCGAAAACCCGGACGCAACCACAGACGUCCAUCAGUGGGUGAUGGAUCCACACGCUGUGGUCCAUCCAGACAACGGGAUAUUACUCAGCACCAAACAGAAAUGAGCGACAAGCCACGGAAACGACAGAGAAAACCGGAGUGCGCAUCGCCAAGUGCAAGAUGCCCGUCGGAAAAGGCGACGUCCUGUGUGACUCCAGCCCUCAGACGUUCUGGAAAAGGCAGAACCAUGGAGACGCCCCCCACCCCCGGCUGCCAGAGGUGCUGCGUCCACACGUUCCACCAAAAGGCUAAUGUGCUCCAGCAUCCGCUGCCCUGAGGUCAUCACCGAAGGAGUGGAGUCACUGGGCCAGACGGUAGCUCCGUGUUUAAGGUCUGAAGAAACCCCGAACUGUCCUCCACACUGGCUACGCCGUCUCAUCUCCCACCGACCAGCACCGUCUGAGGAUUUCCUCACAUCUGCUGUCU